UGGGGAAUAUUGCACAAUGGGGGAAACCCUGAUGCAGCGACGCCGCGUGGGGGAUGACGGCCUUCGGGUUGUAAACCUCUUUCAGUAGGGAAGAAGCCUUCGGGUGACGGUACCUGCAGAAGAAGUACCGGCUAACUACGUGCCAGCAGCCGCGGUAAUACGUAGGGAACAAGCGUUGUCCGGAAUUAUUGGGCGUAAAGAGCUCGUAGGUGGUCUGUCACGUCUGCUGUGGAAACGCAAGGCUCAACCUUGCGCGUGCAGUGGGUACGGGCGGACUAGAGUGCAGUAGGGGAGUCUGGAAUUCCUGGUGUAGCGGUGAAAUGCGCAGAUAUCAGGAGGAACACCGGUGGCGAAGGCGGGACUCUGGGCUGUAACUGACGCUGAGGAGCGAAAGCAUGGGGAGCGAACA
This 409-nucleotide ribosomal RNA is filed under the name uncultured bacterium. RNAcentral describes it as "partial 16S ribosomal RNA". It matches the Rfam family "Bacterial small subunit ribosomal RNA", at positions 355 to 774 of the family's 1533-position model. The record is from RNAcentral.